GACGAACGCUGGCGGCGUGCUUAACACAUGCGAGUCGAACGGAAAGGCCCUGCUUUUGUGGGGUGCUCGAGUGGCGAACGGGUGAGUAACACGUGAGUAACCUGCCCUUGACUUUGGGAUAACUUCAGGAAACUGGGGCUAAUACCGGAUAGGAGCUCCUGCUGCAUGGUGGGGGUUGGAAAGUUUCGGCGGUUGGGGAUGGACUCGCGGCUUAUCAGCUUGUUGGUGGGGUAGUGGCUUACCAAGGCUUUGACGGGUAGCCGGCCUGAGAGGGUGACCGGCCACAUUGGGACUGAGAUACGGCCCAGACUCCUACGGGAGGCAGCAGUGGGGAAUAUGGCACAAUGGGCGGAAGCCUGAUGCAGCAACGCCGCGUGCGGGAUGACGGCCUUCGGGUUGUAAACCGCUUUCGCCUGUGACGAAGCGUGAGUGACGGUAAUGGGUAAAGAAGCACCGGCUAACUACGUG
This 468-nucleotide ribosomal RNA is filed under the name uncultured bacterium. RNAcentral's name for it is "partial 16S ribosomal RNA". It matches the Rfam family "Bacterial small subunit ribosomal RNA", at positions 28 to 507 of the family's 1533-position model. The record is from RNAcentral.